GACGAACGCUGGCGGCGUGCUUAACACAUGCAAGUCGAACGAAGAGCGAUGGAAGCUUGCUUCUAUCAAUCUUAGUGGCGAACGGGUGAGUAACGCGUAAUCAACCUGCCCUUCAGAGGGGGACAACAGUUGGAAACGACUGCUAAUACCGCAUACGAUCUGACCUCGGCAUCGAGGAUAGAUGAAAGGUGGCCUCUAUUUAUAAGCUAUCACUGAAGGAGGGGAUUGCGUCUGAUUAGCUAGUUGGAGGGGUGACGGCCCACCAAGGCGAUGAUCAGUAGCCGGUCUGAGAGGAUGAACGGCCACAGUGGGACUGAGACACGGCCCAGACUCCUACGGGAGGCAGCAGUGGGGAAUCUUCCGCAAUGGACGAAAGUCUGACGGAGCAACGCCGCGUGAGGGAUGACGGCCUUCGGGUUGUAAAGCUCUGUUAAUCGGGACGAAAGGCCUUCUUGCGAAUAGUUAGAAGGAUUGACGGUACCGGAAUAGAAAGCCACGGCUAACUACGUG
This 510-nucleotide ribosomal RNA is filed under the name uncultured bacterium. Its description in RNAcentral is "partial 16S ribosomal RNA". It matches the Rfam family "Bacterial small subunit ribosomal RNA", at positions 28 to 507 of the family's 1533-position model. The record is from RNAcentral.